ACGCGCGCCGUGAAGGCGCGGCCGCACGAUCCACGCUUCCGCCUGGUGCAUAUGUUCAACCGCCAGUUCCUCGACACCGUC
This 81-nucleotide non-coding RNA is filed under the name Chrysoculter rhomboideus. Lineage: Eukaryota; Haptophyta. The record is from RNAcentral.